CUAAAUACUACCCAGUGACCGAUAGCGUAUAGUACUGUGAAGGAAAGGUGAAAAGCACCCCGGGAGGGGAGUGAAAAAGAACCUGAAACCCUGUGCCUACAAGCACCUAGAGCGCGUCAAAGCGUGAUAGGGUACUUUUUGUAGAACGGUCCGGCGAGCGAUUGUAUGCAGCAAGGUUAAGGACUUAAGGUCUGGAGCCGAAGCGAAAGCGAGUUUGAAAAGGGCGUUAAGUUGCAUAUAAUGGGCCCGAAACCGGGUGACCUACCCAUGGUCAGGUUGAAGUGGAAGUAAAAUUCCAUGGAGGACCGAACCGACCUCCGUUGAAAAGGCGGCGGAUGAACUGUGGGUAGCGGAGAAAUUCCAAUCGAACCCGGAGAUAGCUGGUUCUCCCCGAAAUAGUUUUAGGACUAGCCUCAAGUUAGAUACCUGGAGGUAAAGCACUGAAUAGCCUAGCGGCCGAGAGGUUAGCGAAGCUUAUCAAACUCAGAAUGCCAGAGUAUUGAUGCUUGGGAGUCAGACAGUGUCAGAUAAAUGUCAUUGUCAAAAGGGAAACAGCCCAGAUCUACAGCUAAGGUCCCAAAGUCAGGUUAAGUGGAAAACGAUGUGAAGAUACGCAGACAACCAGGAUGUUGGCUCAGAAGCAGCCACUCAUUCAAAGAGUGCGUAAUAGCUCACUGGUCGAGCGUCUUUGCGCGGAGAAUUUAACGGGGCUAAACCUGACACCGAAGCUUAGGCAAUACAGCAAUGUAUUGGGUAGGGGAGCGUUGUAUACGCGGAGAAACAGUAGCGCAAGCGGCUGUGGAGUGUAUAGAAGUGAGAAUGCCGGAAUGAGUAGCGCGAAUGCAGUGAGAAUCUGCAUGGCCGAAAGCCUCAGGUUUCUGGAGGAAGGUUCGUCCGCUCCAGGUUAGUCGGGAGCUAAGGUGAGGCCGAAAGGCGUAGCCGAUGCACAGACGGUAGAGAUUCCGUCACCACCAAAAGAGUUAAGCACAGGGACACAUUUGAAGUCUCAGAGCCGGGUGUUGGUUCCGGUAGAGAUCGAGGGAAAUUAGUACCGAAGUCUGAGAUGGAAGAUGGCGAGAAAAGCUGUGUGUAUUUCUGAGGUGCCCGUACCGCAAACCGACACAGGUAGGUAGGAAGAAGAUUCUAAGGCCAACGGGAGAAGGGUUGUUAAGGAACUCGGCAAAUUGACCCCGUAACUUCGGGAGAAGGGGUGCUCCAGAGAUGGAGCCGCAGAGAAUCGGCCCAAGCAACUGUUUACCAAAAACACAGGUUUGUGCUAAAUCGAAAGAUGACGUAUACGAGCUGACGCCUGCCCGGUGCUGGAAGGUUAAGAGGAGAUGUGCAAGCAUUGAAUCGAAGCCCCAGUGAACGGCGGCCGUAACUAUAACGGUCCUAAGGUAGCGAAAUUCCUUGUCAGGUAAG
This 1422-nucleotide ribosomal RNA is filed under the name human gut metagenome. RNAcentral's name for it is "bacterial LSU rRNA". It matches the Rfam family "Bacterial large subunit ribosomal RNA", at positions 466 to 1980 of the family's 2925-position model. The record is from RNAcentral.